GACGAACCGUGCGAACGUUAUUCGGAAUCACUGGGCUUAAAGCGCGUGUAGGCGGGCGGGCACGUCCGUUGCUGAAAUCCCCCGGCUCAACCGGGGAACGGGCGCGGAUACGACCUUCCUGGAGGGGCGUAGGGGGACCUGGAACUUCCGGUGGAGCGGUGAAAUGCGUUGAGAUCGGAAGGAACGCCCGUGGCGAAAGCGAGGUCCUGGACGCCUACUGACGCUGAGACGCGAAAGCCAGGGGAGCGAACGGG
This 254-nucleotide ribosomal RNA is filed under the name uncultured bacterium. RNAcentral describes it as "partial 16S ribosomal RNA". It matches the Rfam family "Bacterial small subunit ribosomal RNA", at positions 524 to 776 of the family's 1533-position model. The record is from RNAcentral.